This 440-nucleotide ribosomal RNA is filed under the name uncultured bacterium. RNAcentral's name for it is "partial 16S ribosomal RNA". It matches the Rfam family "Bacterial small subunit ribosomal RNA", at positions 338 to 795 of the family's 1533-position model. The record is from RNAcentral.
CCUACGGGUGGCAGCAGUGGGGAAUAUUGCACAAUGGGGGAAACCCUGAUGCAGCGACGCCGCGUGAGCGAUGAAGUAUUUCGGUAUGUAAAGCUCUAUCAGCAGGGAAGAAAAUGACGGUACCUGACUAAGAAGCACCGGCUAACUACGUGCCAGCAGCCGCGGUAAUACGUAGGGAGCAAGCGUUAUCCGGAUUUACUGGGCGUAAAGGGAGCGUAGACGGCGGUGCAAGCGAGAUGUGAAAGCGCGGGGCUCAACCCCGGGACUGCAGUUGAAACUGUGCUGCUAGAGUGUCGGAGAGGCAUGCGGAAUGCGUGGUGUAGCGGUGAAAUGCGUAGAUAUUAGGAGGAACACCAGUGGCGAAGGCAGCCUGCUGGACGAUGACUGACGUUGAGGCUCGAAAGCGUGGGGAGCAAACAGGAUUAGAUACCCGAGUAGUC